CCUACGGGAGGCAGCAGUGAGGAAUAUUGGUCAAUGGGCGGGAGCCUGAACCAGCCAAGCCGCGUGAGGGAAGAAGGUACAGCGUAUCGUAAACCUCUUUUGUCAGGGAACAAAGGCGGGGACUAGUCCCCGGAUGAGGGUACCUGAAGAAAAAGCAUCGGCUAAUUCCGUGCCAGCAGCCGCGGUAAUACGGAGGAUGCGAGCGUUAUCCGGAUUUAUGGGGUUUAAGGGGUGCGCAGGCGGCCUGUUAAGGCAGCGGUAAAAGCCCGGGGCUCAACCCCGGCGAGCCGUUGAAACUGGCGGGCUGGAGUGGGAGAGAAGUACGCGGAAUGUGCGGUGUAGCGGUGAAAUGCUUAGAUAUCGCGCAGAACCCCGAUUGCGAAGGCAGCGGACCGGCUCCACACUGACGCUGAGGCACGAAAGCGUGGGUAUCGAACAGGAUUAGAUACCCUUGUAGUC
RNAcentral lists this ribosomal RNA (459 nucleotides) under uncultured bacterium. RNAcentral's name for it is "partial 16S ribosomal RNA". It matches the Rfam family "Bacterial small subunit ribosomal RNA", at positions 338 to 795 of the family's 1533-position model. The record is from RNAcentral.